This 1229-nucleotide long non-coding RNA is filed under the name Struthio camelus australis. RNAcentral's name for it is "lncRNA (ENSSCUG00000001929.1)". The record is from RNAcentral. Lineage: Eukaryota; Metazoa; Chordata; Aves; Struthioniformes; Struthionidae.
CAGAAUGUGACUCCAAUUUUGCCUUUUUUGCUAGUGGUCACACUCUGAAGGCCUAAAAGCUCCGAGAUCAAAAGAAGAGAAUCACAUUAACUUCUCCCCACUUUGGUGGCAUUGAAUAUAUAACAACAGUUUGCUUCCAAAAGAGAAAGCUGGAAGUCAUUGGAACCUGAGCUGGAUAGGUGGUAGAUCGACGGUGGAGGAAGGUGGAGUCAUCAACAGCUGCAAAUAAAGAACUGGAAAACCUAUAAGACGUGACCUGAACGAAGAACCUCUGUAUCUCUGUGUGAACAGUUUUUAGCCCAAGGAACUGCAUCUGAAUGAAGUAUACUGUCGCCAGGUUCCCAAGGUUCAGAGACAGCUGAUCAAAAGAUUGGUAAGACCUUGUUCACAGGGACUACGCUUUGCUGUGUGGAGUCAAAUUUGCCAAGAUUUUCUGCAACGCCAAUACAGUUGUAUCUAACUUCAAUCUCUGAGAGAGAAACCAGGAAGAAAUUUCACUCCCUCAAGGAGAGAUCAGCUGAUGUGCUUCUGUUUCAUAGUCAACCCUGGGUGAAGGAAAGGAGUUCCACUUUCAGAGAAGAAAGGAUACAGGCUAAAUCAACUCCUGGUGAAAAAUUCUUCCUUCUUGGGAAAUUAUAUUUGCAAAGCUGCAUGAAAGGUAUCUCUGUUUAGUAAUAGAUUAGACUGCUAAUCAAGUCCUCUGUGUUGUGGUCAUUUUUGCUAUCCUGGGUGAAUAGAUCAUGAUGUUAAUGGCGCCACUGAUGGUCAUGUGGGCAUUUGAGGAGAUAAGCACCAUAUGGCAUGAGGAUUGACAUUGCAAACUGAUGUUGGAGACUGUGCCUAGAGAAGGGGAAAAUUCAACUCCUUACUCCUAAAUAUGCUAACUGUAGCGAAAAGGUGCUGGAACUUUUCCAUAUUAACUGUUACAUCAGCAGACUGAUGAAAGUCAGGAUACUGCACAUUAGCGGGUAUAGUAAGCUAAUAGUAAGUCAUAGGGAUUUGAGUUAAAUGGCAGGCCUAUCAAAAACUGUAAUUAUAAUAUGCUGCAUCUCCACAAUCCUUUCACUAAGGCCUCUGACUUAAGAGUCACCAGUCCNNNNNNNNNNNNNNNNNNNNNNNNNNNNNNNNNNNNNNNNNNNNNNNNNNCCCCGCUUCAAACUUUUCUGUAAGUCUCUGUGUCUAAAAGUCAUAACCAGCCCCUUUUCGAUCACUAUAAUCUUUGAUCUGUC